This 429-nucleotide ribosomal RNA is filed under the name Acidobacteriota bacterium. RNAcentral's name for it is "Acidobacteria bacterium partial 16S ribosomal RNA". It matches the Rfam family "Bacterial small subunit ribosomal RNA", at positions 355 to 776 of the family's 1533-position model. The record is from RNAcentral. Lineage: Bacteria; Pseudomonadati; Acidobacteriota.
UGGGGAAUUUUGGACAAUGGGGGAAACCCUGAUCCAGCCAUCCCGCGUGUGCGAUGAAGGCCUUCGGGUUGUAAAGCACUUUUGGCAGGAAAGAAACGUCAUGGGUUAAUACCCCGUGAAACUGACGGUACCUGCAGAAUAAGCACCGGCUAACUACGUGCCAGCAGCCGCGGUAAUACGUAGGGUGCAAGCGUUAAUCGGAAUUACUGGGCGUAAAGCGUGCGCAGGCGGUUCGGAAAGAAAGAUGUGAAAUCCCAGAGCUCAACUUUGGAACUGCAUUUGUAACUACCGGGCUAGAGUGUGUCAGAGGGAGGUGGAAUUCCGCGUGUAGCAGUGAAAUGCGUAGAUAUGCGGAGGAACACCGAUGGCGAAGGCAGCCUCCUGGGAUAACACUGACGCUCAUGAACGAAAGCGUGGGGAGCAAACAGG